This 497-nucleotide ribosomal RNA is filed under the name uncultured bacterium. RNAcentral's name for it is "partial 16S ribosomal RNA". It matches the Rfam family "Bacterial small subunit ribosomal RNA", at positions 28 to 507 of the family's 1533-position model. The record is from RNAcentral.
GAUGAACGCUGGCGGCGUGCCUAAUACAUGCAAGUCGAGCGAACAGACGAGGAGCUUGCUUCUCUGACGUUAGCGGCGGACGGGUGAGUAACACGUGGAUAACCUACCUAUAAGACUGGGAUAACUUCGGGAAACCGGAGCUAAUACCGGAUAAUAUAUUGAACCGCAUGGUUCAAGAGUGAAAGACGGUUUUGCUGUCACUUAUAGAUGGAUCCGCGCCGCAUUAGCUAGUUGGUAAGGUAACGGCUUACCAAGGCAACGAUGCGUAGCCGACCUGAGAGGGUGAUCGGCCACACUGGAACUGAGACACGGUCCAGACUCCUACGGGAGGCAGCAGUAGGGAAUCUUCCGCAAUGGGCGAAAGCCUGACGGAGCAACGCCGCGUGAGUGAUGAAGGUCUUCGGAUCGUAAAACUCUGUUAUUAGGGAAGAACAAAUGUGUAAGUAACUGUGCACAUCUUGACGGUACCUAAUCAGAAAGCCACGGCUAACUACGUG